This 424-nucleotide ribosomal RNA is filed under the name uncultured bacterium. Its description in RNAcentral is "partial 16S ribosomal RNA". It matches the Rfam family "Bacterial small subunit ribosomal RNA", at positions 360 to 777 of the family's 1533-position model. The record is from RNAcentral.
AAUUUUCGGCAAUGGGGGAAACCCUGACCGAGCAACGCCGCGUGAGUGAUGAAGGCCUUCGGGUUGUAAAGCUCUGUUGUAAGGGAAGAACGGUAGGUAGAGGGAAUGCUAUCUAAGUGACGGUACCUUACCAGAAAGCCACGGCUAACUACGUUCCAGCAGCCGCGGUAAUACGUAGGUGGCAAGCGUUAUCCGGAAUUAUUGGGCGUAAAGGGUGCGCAGGCGGCAAUUUAAGUCCGUGGUAAAAGACUGAAGCUCAACUUCAGGUGGCCAUGGAAACUGGGUUGCUAGAGUGCAGGAGAGGGUAGUGGAAUUCCAUGUGUAGCGGUAAAAUGCGUAGAUAUAUGGAGGAACACCAGUGGCGAAAGCGGCUACCUGGCCUGUAACUGACGCUCAUGCACGAAAGCGUGGGGAGCAAAUAGGA